GUUGAUAAGGUUAAGUGAAUAAGGGCGCACGGUGGAUGCCUUGGCACUAGGAGCCGAUGAAGGACGGGACUAACACCGAUAUGCUUUGGGGAGCUGUAAGUAAGCUAUGAUCCAGAGAUUUCCGAAUGGGGGAACCCAAUAUCUUUUAUAGGAUAUUACUUUUCAGUGAAUACAUAGCUGAUUAGAGGUAGACGCAGAGAACUGAAACAUCUUAGUACCUGCAGGAAGAGAAAGAAAAUUCGAUUCCCUGAGUAGCGGCGAGCGAAACGGGAAGAGCCCAAACCAACAAGCUUGCUUGUUGGGGUUGUAGGACUCCAAUAUGGUAGUCUGUUAGUAUAGUUGAAGGAUUUGGAAAAUUCCGCUAAAGAGGGUGAAAGCCCCGUAGACGAAAUGCUAACAACACCUAGGAGGAUCCUGAGUACGGCGGAACACGAGAAAUUCCGUCGGAAUCCGCGGGGACCAUCCCGCAAGGCUAAAUACUCCCUAGUGACCGAUAGUGAACCAGUACCGUGAGGGAAAGGUGAAAAGCACCCCGGAAGGGGAGUGAAAUAGAUCCUGAAACCGUGUGCCUACAACAAGUCAAAGCUCGUUAAUGAGUGAUGGCGUGCCUUUUGUAGAAUGAACCGGCGAGUUACGAUUGCAUGCGAGGUUAAGUCGAAGAGACGGAGCCGCAGCGAAAGCGAGUCUGAAUAGGGCGAAUGAGUAUGUAGUCGUAGACCCGAAACCAUGUGAUCUACCCAUGUCCAGGUUGAAGGUGCGGUAAAACGCACUGGAGGACCGAACCCACGUACGUUGAAAAGUGCGGGGAUGAGGUGUGGGUAGCGGAGAAAUUCCAAACGAACUUGGAGAUAGCUGGUUCUCUCCGAAAUAGCUUUAGGGCUAGCCUCGGAAUUGAGAAUGAUGGAGGUAGAGCACUGUUUGGACUAGGGGCCCAUCUCGGGUUACCGAAUUCAGAUAAACUCCGAAUGCCAUUCAUUUAUAUCCGGGAGUCAGACUGCGAGUGAUAAGAUCCGUAGUCGAAAGGGAAACAGCCCAGACCACCAGCUAAGGUCCCAAAAUAUAUGUUAAGUGGAAAAGGAUGUGGGGUUGCACAGACAACUAGGAUGUUGGCUUAGAAGCAGCCACCAUUUAAAGAGUGCGUAAUAGCUCACUAGUCGAGUGACCCUGCGCCGAAAAUGUACCGGGGCUAAACAUAUUACCGAAGCUGUGGACUACACCAUUAGGUGUAGUGGUAGGAGAGCGUUCUAAGGGCGUUGAAGGUCGAUCGUGAGGACGGCUGGAGCGCUUAGAAGUGAGAAUGCCGGUAUGAGUAGCGAAAGACAGGUGAGAAUCCUGUCCACCGUAUGACUAAGGUUUCCUGGGGAAGGCUCGUCCGCCCAGGGUUAGUCGGGACCUAAGCCGAGGCCGAUAGGCGUAGGCGAUGGACAACAGGUUGAUAUUCCUGUACCAGUUGUUUUUGUUUGAGCAAUGGAGGGACGCAGUAGGCUAAGGAAUGCAUGCGAUUGGAAGUGCAUGUCCAAGCAAUGAGUCUUGAGUAGAGUUAAAUGCUUUACUCUCUAAGGACAAGUUGUGACGGGGAGCGAAAUAAUAGUAGCGAAGUUCCUGAUGUCACACUGCCAAGAAAAGCUUCUAGUGAGAAAACAACUGCCCGUACCGUAAACCGACACAGGUAGUCGAGGAGAGUAUCCUAAGGUGAGCGAGCGAACUCUCGUUAAGGAACUCGGCAAAAUGACCCCGUAAC
Molecule: ribosomal RNA, 1741 nt
Filed under: Enterococcus faecalis
Lineage: Bacteria; Bacillati; Bacillota; Bacilli; Lactobacillales; Enterococcaceae
Description: partial 23S ribosomal RNA
Rfam family: Bacterial large subunit ribosomal RNA
Source: RNAcentral